UACGUAGGGGGCAAGCGUUAUCCGGAUUUACUGGGUGUAAAGGGAGCGUAGACGGCUUUGCAAGCCAGAUGUGAAAGCCCGGGGCUCAACCUCGGGACUGCAUUUGGAACUGUAUGGCUGGAGUGUCGGAGAGGCAGGCGGAAUUCCUAGUGUAGCGGUGAAAUGCGUAGAUAUUAGGAGGAACACCAGUGGCGAAGGCGGCCUACUGGACGGUGACUGACGCUGAGGCUCGAAAGCGUGGGGAGCAAACAGG
This 253-nucleotide ribosomal RNA is filed under the name uncultured bacterium. RNAcentral describes it as "partial 16S ribosomal RNA". It matches the Rfam family "Bacterial small subunit ribosomal RNA", at positions 524 to 776 of the family's 1533-position model. The record is from RNAcentral.